CAAUAGCGUAUAUUAAAGUUGUUGCAGUUAAAAAGCUCGUAGUUGGAUUUCUGGUUGAAGCGACCGGUCGGGCGUUGAUUCGUCUGCACUGGAGUCGGUUUUGGCCAUCCUCUAGGAAAGUGCGUCUGGUAUUAAGUUAUCGGGCGUAUGAUCCUGGUCUUUUACUGUGAAAAAAUUAGAGUGUUUAAAGCAGGCCUUCGCCUUGAAUACAUUAGCAUGGAAUAAUAAGAUAGGACUUUGGUCUAUUUUGUUGGUUUGCAGACCGAAGUAAUGAUUAAUAGGGAUAGUUGGGGGUAUUUAUAUUCCGAUGUCAGAGGUGAAAUUCUUAGAUUUUCGGAAGAUAAACUUAUGCGAAAGUAUUUACCAAGGAUGUUUUCAUUAA
This 382-nucleotide ribosomal RNA is filed under the name uncultured eukaryote. Its description in RNAcentral is "partial 18S ribosomal RNA". It matches the Rfam family "Eukaryotic small subunit ribosomal RNA", at positions 592 to 976 of the family's 1831-position model. The record is from RNAcentral.